This 253-nucleotide ribosomal RNA is filed under the name uncultured bacterium. Its description in RNAcentral is "partial 16S ribosomal RNA". It matches the Rfam family "Bacterial small subunit ribosomal RNA", at positions 524 to 776 of the family's 1533-position model. The record is from RNAcentral.
UACGUAGGGUGCAAGCGUUAAUCGGAAUUACUGGGCGUAAAGCGUGCGCAGGCGGUGAUGUAAGACAGAUGUGAAAUCCCCGGGCUCAACCUGGGAACUGCAUUUGUGACUGCAUCGCUGGAGUACGGCAGAGGGGGAUGGAAUUCCGCGUGUAGCAGUGAAAUGCGUAGAUAUGCGGAGGAACACCGAUGGCGAAGGCAAUCCCCUGGGCCUGUAUUGACGCUCAUGCACGAAAGCGUGGGGAGCAAACAGG